UAGUUGCUAAAUACGGUGCUGAUGCGUU
This 28-nucleotide small RNA is filed under the name Bombyx mori (domestic silkworm). Its description in RNAcentral is "ovarian small RNA-23170". The record is from RNAcentral. Lineage: Eukaryota; Metazoa; Arthropoda; Insecta; Lepidoptera; Bombycidae.